RNAcentral lists this small RNA (1540 nucleotides) under Pan troglodytes (chimpanzee). RNAcentral's name for it is "retained intron". The record is from RNAcentral. Lineage: Eukaryota; Metazoa; Chordata; Mammalia; Primates; Hominidae.
CUUUCCCAUAACAUACUCUGCCGUUCCUGUCUCCCCAUCUGGAACUGUCCUUUCUUCUUUCAAAUUCUAUUAUCCCUUAAAAUCUGAUCAGCUCCUCAUCUUCCACGAAGGUUUCCCUCACUACCCAGCCUAAAACAAAUUCUAGUAGUACUCAAUUGUCUGCAGUUACUUUUUUGUGUGUGUAGGUCUCAUCUCCCCUCAAAAUCCCAGAUAGAUUAUAAACUCUUAAACAGGAAGUUAGUGUCUCUUGGUGUGUAACCCCACCAUGCUAGUCCAUAGUAGAUGACCAGUAAGUGGUUGAAUGAAUGAACCAUCUAUUCUUUUCACCUCUUUUUGGGGACAUCUUUGCUUUUCACAGAGGAUAGUGCUGAUUUGGACAGCAUUGAAGCAGUUGCUAAUGAAGUAUUGAAAAUGGAGAUGCCUAGCACCCCACAGCAGUUACAGAACUUGACAGAAGAUAUACGUGAACGAGUUGAAAGCCUUUCUCAAGUAGAGGUUAUUCUUCAGCAUAGUGCUGCUGACAUUGCCAGAGCUGAGAUGUUGUUAGAAGAAGCUAAAAGAGCAAGGUAUCUAAAGACAUGGCAUCUAAGGGGCUUAUUCUGUGUAUCAAUCAUGGAGUAAAAAGUAUCUCUUUAACCAAUGAAACUUCUAAGAAGGACCUAUGCGAGUCUCUCUGGGUCAUCUCAGGAAGGCUAUUCUUUAAAGAAAAGAACACUGAGAGUACUUUUUUCAUGUUCAGCAACAACAUACUGUCUCAUUAUUUUUUACUCAGCAAAAGUGCAACAGAUGUUAAAGUCACUGCAGAUAUGGUAAAGGAAGCUCUGGAAGAAGCAGAAAAGGCCCAGGUCGCAGCAGAGAAGGCAAUUAAACAAGCAGAUGAAGACAUUCAAGGAACCCAGAACCUGCUAACUUCGAUUGAGUCUGAAACAGCAGCUUCUGAGGAAACCUUGUUCAACGCGUCCCAGCGCAUCAGCGAGUUAGAGAGGAAUGUGGAAGAACUUACGCGGAAAGCUGCCCAAAACUCCGGGGAGGCAGAAUAUAUUGAAAAAGUAGUAUAUACUGUGAAGCAAAGUGCAGAAGAUGUUAAGAAGACUUUAGAUGGUGAACUUGAUGAAAAGUAUAAAAAAGUAGAAAAUUUAAUUGCCAAAAAAACUGAAGAGUCAGCUGAUGCCAGAAGGAAAGCUGAAAUGCUACAAAAUGAAGCAAAAACUCUUUUAGCUCAAGCAAAUAGCAAGCUGCAACUGCUCAAAGAUUUAGAAAGAAAAUAUGAAGACAAUCAAAGAUACUUAGAAGAUAAAGCUCAAGAAUUAGCGAGACUGGAAGGAGAAGUCCGUUCACUCCUGAAGGAUAUAAGCCAGAAAGUUGCUGUGUAUAGCACAUGCUUGUAACAAAGGAGAAUAAAAAAUGGCUGAGGUGACCAAGGUAAAACAACUACAUUUUAAAAACUGACUUAAUGAUCUUCAAAAUAAAACAUCACCUAUUUAAUGUUUUUAAUCACAUUUUGUAUGGAGUUAAAUAAAGUACAGUGCUUUUGUAUAUA